AUUGAACGCUGGCGGCAGGCCUAACACAUGCAAGUCGAGCGAGCGGCGGACGGGUGAGUAAUGUAUGGGGACUGCCCGAUAGAGGGGGAUAACUACUGGAAACGGUAGCUAAUACCGCAUACUAUCGGAUAACCCAUAUGGGAGUAGCUAGUAGGUGAGGUAAUGGCUCACCUAGGCGACGAUCCCUAGCUGUACUGAGAGGAUGAUCAGCCACACGGGGACGUAGACAAGGCCCUGAAUCCUACGGAGGCAGCAGUGGGGAAUAUUGCACAAUGGGCGCAAGCCUGAUGCAGCCAUGCCGCGUGUAUGAAGAGGGCCCUAGGGUUGUAAAGUACUUUCAGUCGGGGGGCGUUACCGACAGAAGAAGCACCGGCUAACUCCGUGCCAGCAGCCGCGGUAAUUC
Molecule: ribosomal RNA, 403 nt
Filed under: uncultured bacterium
Lineage: Bacteria
Description: partial 16S ribosomal RNA
Rfam family: Bacterial small subunit ribosomal RNA
Source: RNAcentral